GGCUCGUUGUUCUAGGGGUAUGAUUUUCGCUUUGGGAGCGAGAGGUCCCGGGUUCGAAUCCCGGACGAGCCC
Molecule: transfer RNA, 72 nt
Organism: Astyanax mexicanus (Mexican tetra)
Lineage: Eukaryota; Metazoa; Chordata; Actinopteri; Characiformes; Acestrorhamphidae
Rfam family: tRNA
About the family: Transfer RNA (tRNA) molecules are approximately 80 nucleotides in length.
Source: Rfam